UACCCGCUGAACUUAAGCAUAUCAAUAAGCGGAGGAAAAGAAACUAACAAGGAUUCCCCUAGUAACUGCGAGUGAAGCGGGAAAAGCUCAAAUUUGAAAUCUGGCAGUCUUUUUUUUCUUCUUUGGCUUCCGAGUUGUAAUCUAGAGAAGUGCUUACCUGCACUGGACCAUGUAUAAGUCUCCUGGAAUGGAGCGUCGCAGAGGGUGAGAAUCCCGUCUUUGACAUGGACUGCCAGUGUGUUGUGGUGUGCUCUCAAAGAGUCGAGUUGUUUGGGAAUGCAGCUCUAAAUGGGUGGUAAACUCCAUCUAAAGCUAAAUAUUGGCGAGAGACCGAUAGUGAACAAGUACCGUGAGGGAAAGAUGAAAAGGACUUUGGAAAGAGAGUUAAACAGUAUGUGAAAUUGUUGAAAGGGAAACGCUUGAAGUCAGUUAUGUUGGCUAGGGAUCAACCUAGCUACUUUUGCUGGGUGAAUUUCCUAGUCUUACAGGCCAACAUCAGUCUUGACUGCUGGAAAAGAGCAGAGGGAAUGUGGCACCUUCGGGUGUGUUAUAGCCCUUCGUCAUAUGUGGCAGUCGGGACUGAGGGAUGCAGCAUGCCGCGAGGCUGGGUUUCUGACCACGUUCAUGCUUAGGAUGUUGGCUUUUAAUGGCUUCAAUCGACCCGUCUUGAAACACGGACCAAGGAGUCUAACAUGCCUGCGAGUGUUUGGGUGGGGAAAAACCCUUGUGCACAAUGAAAGUGAAAGUUGAGAUCCCUGUCAUGGGGAGCAUCGACGCCCGGACUUGAGCUUUUAGCGACGGAUCCGCGGUAGAGCAUGCAUGUUGGGACCCGAAAGAUGGUGAACUAUGCCUGAAUAGGGCAAAGCCAGAGGAAACUCUGGUGGAGGCUCGUAGCGAUUCUGACGUGCAAAUCGAUCGUCAAAUUUGGGUAUAGGGGCGAAAGACUAAUCGA
RNAcentral lists this ribosomal RNA (952 nucleotides) under Amanita prudens. Its description in RNAcentral is "Amanita sp. MPC-2022a partial large subunit ribosomal RNA". It matches the Rfam family "Eukaryotic large subunit ribosomal RNA", at positions 22 to 938 of the family's 3401-position model. The record is from RNAcentral. Lineage: Eukaryota; Fungi; Basidiomycota; Agaricomycetes; Agaricales; Amanitaceae.